CUGCUGCCUUCCGUAGGAGUUUGGACCGUGUCUCAGUUCCAAUGUGGGGGACCUUCCUCUCAGAACCCCUAUCCAUCGUUGUCUUGGUGGGCCGUUACCCCGCCAACUAACUAAUGGAACGCAUCCCCAUCCCAUACCGAAAUUCUUUAAUAAUCCCAUCAUGCGGUAGGACUAUAACAUCGGUAGUUAAUCUUUCUUUUCCGUAAAGGACUACCCCCGAGUACUGAGGCAGGUUGGAGUACGUGUUACUCACCCGUGCCGCCGGUCGCCCGAUCAAAAGUUUGACUAAG
RNAcentral lists this ribosomal RNA (290 nucleotides) under uncultured bacterium. Its description in RNAcentral is "partial 16S ribosomal RNA". The record is from RNAcentral.